GAGGACAGAAGAUGAUUCAGC
RNAcentral lists this microRNA (21 nucleotides) under Prunus persica (peach). RNAcentral describes it as "ppe-miR6295". Lineage: Eukaryota; Viridiplantae; Streptophyta; Magnoliopsida; Rosales; Rosaceae. The record is from miRBase by way of RNAcentral.